GGCGUGCUUAACACAUGCAAGUCGAACGGAUCAGGGGAGCUUGCUUUUCUGGUUAGUGGCGAACGGGUGAGUAACACGUGAGUAACCUGCCCUUCACUCUGGGAUAACUCCGGGAAACCGGGGCUAAUACUGGAUAUGACCUACUCGGGCAUCCGAAGUGGGUGGAAAGAUUUAUUGGUGGGGGAUGGACUCGCGGCCUAUCAGCUUGUUGGUGAGGUAAUGGCUUACCAAGGCGACGACGGGUAGCCGGCCUGAGAGGGCGAUCGGCCACACUGGGACUGAGACACGGCCCAGACUCCUACGGGAGGCAGCAGUGGGGAAUAUUGCACAAUGGGCGAAAGCCUGAUGCAGCGACGCCGCGUGAGGGAUGAGGGCCUUCGGGUUGUAAACCUCUUUCAGCAGGGAAGAAGCGGCCGGGUUUUCUUGGUUGUGACGGUACCUGCAGAAGAAGCACCGGCUAACUACGUGCCAGCAGCCGCGGUAAUACGUAGGGUGCGAGCGUUGUCCGGAAUUAUUGGGCGUAAAGAGCUUGUAGGCGGUUUGUCGCGUCUGCUGUGAAAUUUCGGGGCUCAACCCCGAACUUGCAGUGGGUACGGGCAGACUAGAGUGUGGUAGGGGAGACUGGAAUUCCUGGUGUAGCGGUGAAAUGCGCAGAUAUCAGGAGGAACACCGAUGGCGAAGGCAGGUCUCUGGGCCACUACUGACGCUGAGAAGCAAAGC
RNAcentral lists this ribosomal RNA (720 nucleotides) under uncultured soil bacterium. RNAcentral's name for it is "bacterial SSU rRNA". It matches the Rfam family "Bacterial small subunit ribosomal RNA", at positions 41 to 760 of the family's 1533-position model. The record is from RNAcentral.